GUGCUCGCUUUGGCAGCACAUAUAUUAAAACUGAAACAAUACAGAGAAGACUAGCAUGGUCCCUGCAUAAGGAUGACGUGCAAAUUCAUGAAGCAUUCCAUAUUUUU
Pongo abelii (Sumatran orangutan) is the source of this 107-nucleotide small nuclear RNA. NCBI's taxonomy places the organism in Eukaryota, Metazoa, Chordata, Mammalia, Primates, Hominidae. The record is from Ensembl.